Long non-coding RNA from Chenopodium quinoa (quinoa), 1162 nucleotides. RefSeq lists it as uncharacterized. Lineage: Eukaryota; Viridiplantae; Streptophyta; Magnoliopsida; Caryophyllales; Amaranthaceae. The transcript is spliced from 5 exons. The record is from RefSeq and is a predicted model, not a curated record.
UUAAUAUUUUUAAACGUAAUUAUAAAUUUUUAUUAAAUUAUUUUUAAACGUAAUUAAAAAAUAAAUUAAAAAAUAGUGGAGGAGAAAGUGAUGAGAGGUUUUUUUUCUCCUCAUUGCUGUGGUGAAAAAAACAUUUGAUGAGAGAAAUUGUAUGGGAGGAGUGAGAAAGUGGGUAGAGAGAGAUUGAGAGGUUUAUUUUUUCCUCACUGCUGAGAAUGGUCUUACAAUUAGAUUAUUUUUUCUCUCUCUUCCAUUUACUUCUCUCUCUGUCUUCUCUUUCUGUCUUCCCUUUAUGGUCAUUCGAACAUACUCUGUCUUCCAUUAAGAAAGUAGGCUCGCUACCUUCCUUCCAUUUCCUCUAUCUCCAUCAUCGUGUUUUGCGAUCGCUGCGAGUUGAAGAUUUGUUUCUGGGCUUGCUGUGUCGAGAAUUCAAGCAUUAUAUCUUUGGUUGAGGUAGAAGCUUUUAUCCAUGAUGCUAAGUACAACUAGCUGUGAUUUUCUCCCGGGAUUGUCAGGUUUGUAUUCCCUGCAAAAGGUUAUAAAUAGAAAAUCAUGAGAUCGAAGACAGUUGUGCGAUCGAAGAGUUGGAAACACGUGUUGGAUCCAUCGACUUCUAACCCCUUUGGUAAGGGGGGGUUGUUGAAGUGAAGGGGAAGAAAAACCCUAAAAAGAAGCCAAAGCAACCCAAGAACUUUGAGAAUGUGGAUGAUGGAGAAGAUGAUGAAUACAAUGGUUCUAAUAAUAACCAUUCUAAUGAAGAUAGUGAAGAGGAGUCGUGCACUCCCUCUGAGUUCAUGAAGAUGAUGAUCGGGUUCAUAAAGAGUAAGAGUCGAAAGAGGAAAAGGCCAAAGGGUGAAAAAACUGAAGGUCAAAAGGUGGUGAGCGAAGGGGCAGUGUUGAAGACCCAUCAUGAGAACGUCGGAAAGUACCCCAACAUUGUAUGUAGGGUUGAAUCCUUCUGCCAAGUAGUUAAAGGUUUUGAUCCAAGAAGACGCGCAUUAGUGACAGAAAUGGGGUCUGAAGUCUCCUGGAUCUUGACAUGAAAAAUAUACCGAGGCAAUUUUGCUAUAGGUUGAUGUAGGCGUCAUUCGAAGCGCGUCUACUUAAGCAUGUUGUGAACAUGCUUGACACUCAUAGAAAGUGGGAAUUGACAUAUUAUUAG